AGUUUGAUCAUGGCUCAGGACGAACGCUGGCGGCGUGGAUAAGGCAUGCAAGUCGAACGCGAACGGAGCAACUAAUUCGUUAGAAGCUCCUAGUAGAGUGGCGAACGGGUGAGUAACGCGUGGAUAACGUGCCUCUCAGUGGGGAAUAACACAGGGAAACUUGUGCUAAUACCGCAUACGUCCUUCCGGCCAAGUCGGAAUGAUGAAAGGUGGGGACCUUCGGGCCUGCCGCUGAGAGAUCGGUCCGCGUCCCAUUAGCUGGUUGGUGGGGUAAUGGCCUACCAAGGCUGUGAUGGGUAGCCGGCCUGAGAGGGUGACCGGCCACACUGGGAUUGAGAUACGGCCCAGACUCCUUCGGGAGGCAGCAGUCGAGAAUCUUCCACAAUGGACGAAAGUCUGAUGGAGCGACGCCGCGUGAGUGAUGAAGGCCCUACGGGUUGUAAAACUCUGUCAGGAGAGAAGAAUCGCCGGGGUGCCAAUACCACCCUGGUCUGACGUUAUCUCCAGAGGAAGCUCCGGCUAACUCCGUGCCAGCAGCCGCGGUAAUACGGGGGGAGCAAGCGUUGUCCGGAAUUAUUGGGCGUAAAGGGCGUGUAAGCGGCCUGGUCAGUCGAAUGUGAAAUCCCACGGCUCAACCGUGGAACUGCGUUCGAUACUGCCUGGCUUGAGUAUGUGAGAGGUGUGCGGAAUUCCUGGUGUANCGGUGGAAUGCGUAGAUAUCNNGANNAACACCGAUGGCNNAAGGC
This 746-nucleotide ribosomal RNA is filed under the name uncultured bacterium. Its description in RNAcentral is "bacterial SSU rRNA". It matches the Rfam family "Bacterial small subunit ribosomal RNA", at positions 10 to 722 of the family's 1533-position model. The record is from RNAcentral.